ACAGAAGUUGGACAUUUUUUAAAGGUUCUUGCGCUCGGCAAGGGGAGCAGAUAGAUGCUCAGGAGCGGAAGACGAAGAGAAUUGGAUCUGGCGCCUCCUAACGCAGCCCGCACAGGAGCGAAGGGAUGGAGUGCAGUGGCGCGACCUCGGCUCACUGCAACCUCUGCCUUGCCUCUGGAGUUCAAGCGAUCCUCCUGCCUCAGCUUCCCAAAUAGCUGGUAUUACAGGCACCCGCCACCAUACCCAGAGAGUACGACGAUCCCCCUGGUGCGGCUGAGAUGCUCUGAAAUGAAGACGUUGGCUCUUAUCCCCAGCCUGAAGAGAGAAAAUUCAGAGAUGGCUCCCUUACAGAUUGAAAGCAGACACUGGGUAGGAACACAGCCAAGAGCGAUUGCAGGAUGGGUCCUUCCAGGACACUGACGUCUCCGCUUGUGCACUGUGAGUCCCUGGACGAGUUACUCCACCUCUCUGAACCUCCUCCUCACUUGCAUAAUGGGAAAAAUAAUGGACAUAGGAAGAUGAAACAAGACCUUGGAGACCGCAUUUACCAUCUUAUUUUCCUUGUUCCUUUUUCUUUUCUUUUUUUGUUUUUGUUUGUUUGUUUGUUUGUUUUUUGGAGACAGGGUCUCACUCUGUCGCCCAGGCUGGGGUGCAAUGGCGCGAUCUCGGCUCACUGCAACCUCUGCCUCCUGGGUUCAAGGGAUCCUCCCACCUCAGCCUCCCGGGUAGCUGGCACCACAGACACACGCCACCAUGCCUGGCUAAAUUUUUUUGUAUUUUUAGUAGAAGUGGGGUUUUGUCAUGUUGGCCAGGCUGUUCUCGAACUCCUGGCCUCAAGUGAUCCGUCCACCUCGGCCUCCCAAAGUGCUGGGAUUACAGGCAUGAAUCACCGAGCCCGGCCCCUUGUUCCCUGUUCUGUUUUCCUUUUCACUCUUAUCACUGAUCACCAUCGAUCAUAUUAUCUACAUAUCUACAUAUCUAUUAGAUUGGCGCAAAAGUAAUUGCUGUUUUUGCCAUUACCUUCAAUGGCAUUACUUUCAGUGGCAAAAACUGCAAUUACUUUUGCGCCAGCCUAAUAUAUUGAGACAGGGUCUCUGUCUGUCACCCAGGCUGCUGGAGGGCAGUGGCACAAUCACAGCUCACUGCCACGUCCAACUCCUGGGUUCAAGUGAUCCUCCCGCCUCAGUCUCCCGAUUACCUGGGACUACAGGCAUGCACCACCACACCCAGCCGGUGUUUUUGUUUGUUUGUUUGUUUGUUUGUUUUUGAAACAGAGUUUUGCUUUUGCCCCCCAGGCUAGAGUGUAAUGGCAUGAUCUUGGUUCACUGCAACCUCUGCCUCCGGGGUUCAAGCGAUUCUCCUGUCUCAGCCUCCCAAGUAGCUGGGAUUACAGGCGCCUACCACCACACCUGGCUAAUUUUGGGUUUUGUGGGUUUUGUGUGUGUGUGUGUGUGUGUGUGUGUGUGUGUGUGUGUGAGUCUGGCUCUGUCACCUAGGCUGCUGGAGUGCAAUGGUGCAAUCUUCGGCUCACUGCAACCUCUGCCUCCUGGGUUCAAGCAAUUCUCCUGCCUCAGCCUACUGAGUAGCUGGGAUUACAGGUGCCCGCCACCACGCCCAGCUAAUUUUUGUAUUUUCAGUAGAGACACCAUUUCACCAUGUUGGACAGGCUGGUCUCGAACUACUGACCUCAGGUGAUCCACCUGCCUCAGCCUCCCAAAGUGCUGGGACUACACGCGUGAGCCACCACGCCUGGCCCAAGUUUUUUUGUUUUUUUUUUUUUAAUUUUGUAGAGACAGGGUCUCACUAUGUUGCCGAGGCUAGUCUGGAACUCCUGAUCUCAAGCAAUCCUCCCUCUCUGGCUCCGAAAGUGCGGGGAUAAUAGGCGUGAACCACUGUGCACAGCCCAUAUUUUAUAUUCUACUUUACUGAGUUUCUUUAGUUUUUACUCCUCCCACUAGGAUGUCUGUUUUGUUUACCUGCAUAUCUCCAGCCCCUAGAACAGAACUUGGUUCAUGGUGGGUUCAGUAACUAUUUGAAUUAAAUGAAUAGACGGACGUAAAAUGGUUAGUAUUGCGGUGCCCAGUAAUGGUAGGUAUCAAACUUAGUCUCUGGACUCCAACACAAAGCAGUGUAAUUUAAGAUGGGCACAGUGGGCUGGGCGCGGUGGCUCAUGCCUGUAAUCCCAGCACUUUGGGAGGCCGAGGCGGGUGGAUCACCAGGGGUCAGGAGUUCGAGACAGGCC
Molecule: long non-coding RNA, 2242 nt
Organism: Pongo pygmaeus (Bornean orangutan)
Lineage: Eukaryota; Metazoa; Chordata; Mammalia; Primates; Hominidae
Exons: 4
Source: RefSeq, a predicted model, not a curated record